UACGAAGGGGGCUAGCGUUGCUCGGAAUCACUGGGCGUAAAGGGUGCGUAGGCGGGUCUUUAAGUCAGGGGUGAAAUCCUGGAGCUCAACUCCAGAACUGCCUUUGAUACUGAAGAUCUUGAGUUCGGGAGAGGUGAGUGGAACUGCGAGUGUAGAGGUGAAAUUCGUAGAUAUCGGGAGGAACACCGGUGGCGAAGGCGGCGACCUGGGUCGAGACUGACGCUGAGGCGCGAAAGCGUGGGGAGCAAACAGG
RNAcentral lists this ribosomal RNA (253 nucleotides) under uncultured bacterium. RNAcentral describes it as "partial 16S ribosomal RNA". It matches the Rfam family "Bacterial small subunit ribosomal RNA", at positions 524 to 776 of the family's 1533-position model. The record is from RNAcentral.